AUUGAACGCUGGCGGCAUGCCUUACACAUGCAAGUCGAACGGUAACGGGCCUUCGGGCGCCGCCGAGUGGCGCACGGGUGCGUAAUACAUCGGAACGUGCCCGAUCGUGGGGGAUAACGAGGCGAAAGCUUUGCUAAUACCGCAUACGAUCUACGGAUGAAAGCAGGGGACCGCAAGGCCUUGCGCGGACGGAGCGGCCGAUGGCAGAUUAGGUAGUUGGUGGGAUAAAAGCUUACCAAGCCGACGAUCUGUAGCUGGUCUGAGAGGAUGAUCAGCCACACUGGGACUGAGACACGGCCCAGACUCCUACGGGAGGCAGCAGUGGGGAAUUUUGGACAAUGGGCGCAAGCCUGAUCCAGCCAUGCCGCGUGCAGGAUGAAGGCCUUCGGGUUGUAAACUGCUUUUGUACGGAACGAAAAGCCUUCUUUUAAUACAGGAGGGUCAUGACGGUACCGUAAGAAUAAGCACCGGCUAACUACGUG
Molecule: ribosomal RNA, 482 nt
Filed under: uncultured bacterium
Lineage: Bacteria
Description: partial 16S ribosomal RNA
Rfam family: Bacterial small subunit ribosomal RNA
Source: RNAcentral